AGUGAACGCUGGCGGUAGGCCUAACACAUGCAAGUCGAACGGCAGCACAGUAAGAGCUUGCUCUUACGGGUGGCGAGUGGCGGACGGGUGAGGAAUGCAUCGGAAUCUACUUUUUCGUGGGGGAUAACGUAGGGAAACUUACGCUAAUACCGCAUACGACCUACGGGUGAAAGCAGGGGAUCUUCGGACCUUGCGCGAUUGAAUGAGCCGAUGUCGGAUUAGCUAGUUGGCGGGGUAAAGGCCCACCAAGGCGACGAUCCGUAGCUGGUCUGAGAGGAUGAUCAGCCACACUGGAACUGGGACACGGUCCAGACUCCUACGGGAGGCAGCAGUGGGGAAUAUUGGACAAUGGGCGCAAGCCUGAUCCAGCCAUACCGCGUGGGUGAAGAAGGCCUUCGGGUUGUAAAGCCCUUUUGUUGGGAAAGAAAAGCAGCAGGUUAAUACCCCGCUGUUCUGACGGUACCCAAAGAAUAAGCACCGGCUAACUUCGUG
RNAcentral lists this ribosomal RNA (492 nucleotides) under uncultured bacterium. RNAcentral describes it as "partial 16S ribosomal RNA". It matches the Rfam family "Bacterial small subunit ribosomal RNA", at positions 29 to 507 of the family's 1533-position model. The record is from RNAcentral.